Molecule: ribosomal RNA, 406 nt
Filed under: uncultured bacterium
Lineage: Bacteria
Description: partial 16S ribosomal RNA
Rfam family: Bacterial small subunit ribosomal RNA
Source: RNAcentral
AUUGAACGCUGGCGGCAGGCCUAACACAUGCAAGUCGAACGAGUGGCGGACGGGUGAGUAAUGUCUGGUAAACUGCCCGAUGGAGGGGGAUAACUACUGGAAACGGUAGCUAAUCCCGCAUACCAUCGGAUGUGCCCAGAUGGGGUUAGCUAGUAGGUGGGGUAACGGCUACCCUAGGCGACGAUCCCUAGCUGGUCGGAGAGGAUGACCAGCCACACUGGAACUGAGACACGGUCCAGACGCCUACGGGAGGCAGCAGUGGUGAAUAUUGCACAAUGGGCGCAAGCCUGAUGCAGCCAUGCCGAGUGUAUGAAGAAGGCCUUGGGGGUGUAAAGUACGUCCAGCGAGGAGGCGGUACUCGCAGAAGAAGCACCGGCUAACUCCGUGCCAGCAGCCGCGGUAAUAC